GCCUACUGAAACACUAGCCCCUCUACAUAGGUAAGAGGCCUGUAGCCUACUGAAACACUAGCCCCUCUACAUAGGUAAGAGGCCUGUAGCUUACUGAAACACUAGCCCCUCUACAUAGGUAAGAGGCCUGUAGCUUACUGAAACACUAGCC
Molecule: long non-coding RNA, 151 nt
Organism: Oncorhynchus keta (chum salmon)
Lineage: Eukaryota; Metazoa; Chordata; Actinopteri; Salmoniformes; Salmonidae
Exons: 3
Source: RefSeq, a predicted model, not a curated record